AUUUUGUUCUUGUUGUUUAGAUAGUGGGUGAGUCACAGCUACUAAAGGGUUUAACACUGAUGGUAUGUCUGCUGGGUUACGAGCUUCGGGGAUGAAGCCUGAUCUCGGUCUUGUGACCUGUGAUGUCGAUGUUGUUGCUGCAGUGGUGUUGCUGUGAUUUGUCUCUUUUGCAGGUUUGUUGCAAUGUUGUUCCCUUCUUUCUCAGUUUUUGUGGACAUGCCGCGUACACGUGACUGGUUCCUGGUGUUUGAAACUUCUGCAUUUGUAUGCAGUUUUUCUCGUACUUGUCCGCUUUCUUGAAACUUCCAAAGUCAAAUCCCCAUGUGCUUUGGUUGGUUCUCAAGUAUUUUUUGCUUUGAGAGAUCGCAAGCUUGUCUCCUUUGCAUAGUCUGUAUCAGAUGUUGUUGCAGUCUUUGUUGGGGGAUCUGGAACUCCAUCUUUCACCACCUCCCAUAGCUCUCUGACCAUCAAACUUCAUUGUUAUGUCUCUUCACUUCUUCUUGUUCUUUUUAUUGAACAUGCUCCACAGGGCUUGGAUCCUCAGAGCCCAGAUUCCAUACUUCACUCCCUUGCGUGCCUCUGCCUUCAAUUGAUCUUCAUUCUCUUCCUUGGAUGUGAUGAAACUCCACAUAGUUUCAGACGAUUUGAUACCAGUCGUUGUCAAAACACUUGAAAAUCAAGCUUUGAUUUUUCUUGAACUGAUACAAACUAAUAUGCAAAACUCCAAUACUCUAUUCCUUUGGAAUACUUUGUCGGGAUGAUUUUUAAUGGCAAAGAGAGAUUGAGCAUAACCAAUAGAAUAGAAGAUGAUCAAAAGAGACAGCCGAUUAAAAGGAGAGUCGAAGAUAACACAAAAUUAAAACUUUAUUGAUCUUCAAACCAAAAUCAAAAGGGUGAUGAUAGAACUUGAAGAACAGAUUCGAUUUAGGUUUGAAAG
Brassica napus (rape) is the source of this 937-nucleotide long non-coding RNA. RefSeq lists it as uncharacterized. Lineage: Eukaryota; Viridiplantae; Streptophyta; Magnoliopsida; Brassicales; Brassicaceae. The transcript is spliced from 2 exons. The record is from RefSeq and is a predicted model, not a curated record.